CUACGUGCCAGCAGCCGCGGUAAUACGUAUGUCACAAGCGUUAUCCGGAUUUAUUGGGCGUAAAGCGCGUCUAGGUGGUUAUGUAAGUCUGAUGUGAAAAUGCAGGGCUCAACUCUGUAUUGCGUUGGAAACUGCAUGACUAGAGUACUGGAGAGGUAAGCGGAACUACAAGUGUAGAGGUGAAAUUCGUAGAUAUUUGUAGGAAUGCCGAUGGGGAAGCCAGCUUACUGGACAGAUACUGACGCUAAAGCGCGAAAGCGUGGGUAGCAAACAGGAUUAGAUACCCUGGUAGUCCACGCCGUAAACGAUGAUUACUAGGUGUUGGGGGUCGAACCUCAGCGCCCAAGCUAACGCGAUAAGUAAUCCGCCUGGGGAGUACGUACGCAAGUAUGAAACUCAAAGGAAUUGACGGGGACCCGCACAAGCGGUGGAGCAUGUGGUUUAAUUCGACGCAACGCGAGGAACCUUACCAGAUCUUGACAUCC
This 485-nucleotide ribosomal RNA is filed under the name uncultured bacterium. Its description in RNAcentral is "bacterial SSU rRNA". It matches the Rfam family "Bacterial small subunit ribosomal RNA", at positions 501 to 989 of the family's 1533-position model. The record is from RNAcentral.